Molecule: ribosomal RNA, 495 nt
Filed under: uncultured bacterium
Lineage: Bacteria
Description: bacterial SSU rRNA
Rfam family: Bacterial small subunit ribosomal RNA
Source: RNAcentral
AAAUGAAUUGACGGGGACCCGCACAAGCAGUGGAGUAUGUGGUUUAAUUCGACGCAACGCGAAGAACCUUACCGGAGCUUGACAUCCUGAGGAAGCCGAUGUAAAGUUGGCCGUGCCCUUCGGGGAACUCAGAGACAGGUGGUGCAUGGUUGUCGUCAGCUCGUGUCGUGAGAUGUUGGGUUAAGUCCCGCAACGAGCGCAACCCUUACAGUCAGUUGCUACAUUAGGUUGAGCACUCUGGCCGGACUGCCGUUGACAAAACGGAGGAAGGUGGGGAUGACGUCAAAUCAUCAUGCCCCUUACGUUCCGGGCUACACACGUACUACAAUGGCGCAAACAAAGGGAAGCGAAGCCGCGAGGCGGAGCAAAACCCAUAAAAGGCGUCCCAGUUCGGACUGCAGGCUGCAACUCGCCUGCACGAAGUCGGAAUUGCUAGUAAUCGCGGAUCAGCAUGCCGCGGUGAAUACGUUCCCGGGUCUUGUACACACCGCCCGU